AGAGUUUGAUCCUGGCUCAGGACGAACGCUGGCGGCGUGCUUAACACAUGCAAGUCGAACGGAAAGGCCCUUCGGGGUACUCGAGUGGCGAACGGGUGAGUAACACGUGGGUGAUCUGCCCUGCACUUUGGGAUAAGCCUGGGAAACUGGGUCUAAUACCGAAUAUGACCAUGCGCCUCCUGGUGUGUGGUGGAAAGCUUUUGCGGUGUGGGAUGGGCCCGCGGCCUAUCAGCUUGUUGGUGGGGUAAUGGCCUACCAAGGCGACGACGGGUAGCCGGCCUGAGAGGGUGACCGGCCACACUGGGACUGAGAUACGGCCCAGACUCCUACGGGAGACAGCAGUGGGGAAUAUUGCACAAUGGGCGCAAGCCUGAUGCAGCGACGCCGCGUGAGGGAUGACGGCCUUCGGGUUGUAAACCUCUUUCAGCACAGACGAAGCGCAAGUGACGGUAUGUGCAGAAGAAGGACCGGCCAACUACGUGCCAACAGCCGCGGUAAUACGUAGGGUCCGAGCGUUGUCCGGAAUUACUGGGCGUAAAGAGCUCGUAGGUGGUUUGUCGCGUUGUUCGUGAAAACUCACAGCUUAACUGUGGGCGUGCGGGCGAUACGGGCAGACUUGAGUACUGCAGGGGAGACUGGAAUUCCUGGUGUAGCGGUGGAAUGCGCAGAUAUCAGGAGGAACACCGGUGGCGAAGGCGGGUCUCUGGGCAGUAACUGACGCUGAGGAGCGAAAGCGUGGGGAGCGAACAGGAUUAGAUACCCUGGUAGUCC
RNAcentral lists this ribosomal RNA (771 nucleotides) under uncultured bacterium. RNAcentral describes it as "bacterial SSU rRNA". It matches the Rfam family "Bacterial small subunit ribosomal RNA", at positions 8 to 796 of the family's 1533-position model. The record is from RNAcentral.